GGUGGUCCGCCUAUCUUUUCAG
RNAcentral lists this non-coding RNA (22 nucleotides) under Arabidopsis thaliana (thale cress). Lineage: Eukaryota; Viridiplantae; Streptophyta; Magnoliopsida; Brassicales; Brassicaceae. The record is from RNAcentral.